RNAcentral lists this long non-coding RNA (206 nucleotides) under Phoenix dactylifera (date palm). RNAcentral's name for it is "long non-coding RNA (PDAC_LNC009279)". Lineage: Eukaryota; Viridiplantae; Streptophyta; Magnoliopsida; Arecales; Arecaceae. The record is from RNAcentral.
AUCUAGCUUUGGGUUUUUGAAGAGUUGUUGAGAAGCACUUAAGAGGUCCCUUUUAUAGCCCAAAAAGCAAAUAUAGCCGUUAGAGACAAAGAAAGAAGGAUUUGAAAUUCAAACCAAACCUGAAAAGCUGUCAGUCGCGUUCCAGUCGCUCCGGGGACGUCUCCGCUUCAACGGGAGACGUCUCGGCUACAAGAUUUUACUUUUUC